This 850-nucleotide ribosomal RNA is filed under the name bacterium ROMEm59sa331. Its description in RNAcentral is "bacterial SSU rRNA". It matches the Rfam family "Bacterial small subunit ribosomal RNA", at positions 8 to 871 of the family's 1533-position model. The record is from RNAcentral.
AGAGUUUGAUCCUGGCUCAGGAUGAACGCUGGCGGCGUGCUUAACACAUGCAAGUCGAACGAUUAAAGCCCUCUUCGGAGGGUGUAUAAAGUGGCGAACGGGUGAGUAACACGUGGGUAACCUACCUUUCUCUCUGGGAUAACCCUUGGAAACGAGAGCUAAUACCAGAUACUCCGGGACGGUCGCAUGGCCGACCCGGGAAAACUCAGGUGGAGGAAGAUGGACCCGCGGCCCAUUAGGUAGUUGGUGAGGUAACGGCCCACCAAGCCUACGAUGGGUAGCCGAGCUGAGAGGCUGAUCGGCCACACUGGGACUGAGACACGGCCCAGACUCCUACGGGAGGCAGCAGUGGGGAAUUUUGCGCAAUGGGCGAAAGCCUGACGCAGCAACGCCGCGUGCGGGAUGAAGGCCUUCGGGUCGUAAACCGCUUUCAGCAGGGAUGAAAUUGACAGUACCUGCAGAAGAAGCUCCGGCUAACUACGUGCCAGCAGCCGCGGUAAUACGUAGGGAGCAAGCGUUAUCCGGAUUCAUUGGGCGUAAAGCGCGCGUAGGCGGCCUGUUAAGUCAGGUGUGAAAGCCGGGGGCUCAACCCGCGGAUUGCAUCUGAAACUGGCAGGCUUGAGUGUGGUAGAGGAAAGUGGAAUUCCAGGUGUAGCGGUGAAAUGCGCAGAUAUCUGGAGGAACACCAGUGGCGAAGGCGGCUUUCUGGGCCACCACUGACGCUGAGGCGCGAAAGCUAGGGGAGCGAACAGGAUUAGAUACCCUGGUAGUCCUAGCCGUAAACGAUGGGCACUAGGUGUGGGGGAUCAUAGACGUCUUCCGUGCUGAAGCUAACGCAUUAAGUGCCCCG